Hevea brasiliensis (rubber tree) is the source of this 547-nucleotide long non-coding RNA. RefSeq lists it as uncharacterized. The transcript is spliced from 2 exons. Lineage: Eukaryota; Viridiplantae; Streptophyta; Magnoliopsida; Malpighiales; Euphorbiaceae. The record is from RefSeq and is a predicted model, not a curated record.
GGGGAAGGCUUUGAUUGAGGCUGAAGAAAUCCAAAGGGAAAGUGACAAACAUUCACAACUUGUAAUAAGAGAACAGAAACAACUUAACCUCCUGAAUAAUGGCCAUAAUCUCUCAAGCAAUGGACUCUGGAGAAGAGGAAAUAAAAUUUUUAAGUUGAAGAGAAUCCAAUUCAAUGUACAAUCAACCAAAUUCCUACUAGCAGCAAACUAAAUCGCCGCCCAAAGACCAAUGCCUUCCUCCGCAAGAGGAGAAAUUCAAACUUUGCAGAAAAACCAUUUCAUAAGAGAGCCCGCAGAGUCCCUGAUUGAGAAAUCAAAAGCAACCUCUGAUGAAGAGCCAAUAAAAGAUACAUCAACAUUUAUCUUUAGUUUAUCCGGAUCUAAGGGAGACCAAAGAGAUUAAGCAAGAGCUCUGGAUGAAAAUAAAAGCAAAGAAUAAGGUUGUGGAAUGGUCAAGUGAAGCAGUUCACCAAUCCCAUUCUUAGCUCUUCUAAGAGUGAUAACUGGAUCUAGUCACACAUCAAUGAAAACAGCAUUUGAUGUCUUA